This 30-nucleotide non-coding RNA is filed under the name Homo sapiens (human). The record is from RNAcentral. Lineage: Eukaryota; Metazoa; Chordata; Mammalia; Primates; Hominidae.
UGACUGGAUGAUGGGGUGGUCCCCCCAUGC